RNAcentral lists this ribosomal RNA (500 nucleotides) under uncultured bacterium. RNAcentral's name for it is "partial 16S ribosomal RNA". It matches the Rfam family "Bacterial small subunit ribosomal RNA", at positions 30 to 523 of the family's 1533-position model. The record is from RNAcentral.
AUUGAACGCUGGCGGCAUGCCUUACACAUGCAAGUCGAACGGCAGCACGGGAGCAAUCCUGGUGGCGAGUGGCGAACGGGUGAGUAAAGUAUCGGAACGUGCCCAGUCGUGGGGGAUAACGUAGCGAAAGUUACGCUAAUACCGCAUACGAUCUAUGGAUGAAAGCGGGGGAUCGCAAGACCUCGCGCGAUUGGCGCGGCCGAUAUCAGAUUAGGUAGUUGGUGGGGUAAAGGCUCACCAAGCCGACGAUCUGUAGCUGGUCUGAGAGGACGACCAGCCACACUGGGACUGAGACACGGCGCAGACUCCUACGGGAGGCAGCAGUUGGGAAUUUUGGACAAUGGGCGCAAGCCUGAUCCAGCCAUGCCGCGUGCAGGAUGAAGGCCUUCGGGUUGUAAACUGCUUUUGUACGGAACGAAAAGGUUUGACUUAAUACGUUGGACUCAUGACGGUACCGUAAGAAUAAGCACCGGCUAACUACGUGCCAGCAGCCGCUGUAA